RNAcentral lists this long non-coding RNA (1668 nucleotides) under Capra hircus (goat). RNAcentral describes it as "lncRNA (ENSCHIG00000005574.1)". Lineage: Eukaryota; Metazoa; Chordata; Mammalia; Artiodactyla; Bovidae. The record is from RNAcentral.
GCAUAUGAUAUCACUUAUAUGUGAAACCUAAAAAAAACGAUACAAACGAACUUAUUCUCAAAACAAAAACAGACUCACAGAUUUGCAAAGCUAUUUAUGGUUACUGGGGAAAUUAUUUAUGGUUAAAGGGGAAAGUGGGGGGAGGAAUCAGUCAGGAGUUUGGAGUUAGCAAAUACACAUUCCUAUAUAUAAAACAGAUGAACAAUAAGGACCUUCUAUACAGCACAGGAAACUGUAUUCAAUAUCUUGUAAUAAUGUAUAGUGGAAAAGAAUCUGAAAAAAAAUUAUUUGUGGAUCACUUUGUUUUAUGCCAGAAGCUAGCACAACAUUGUAAAUCAACUAGGCUUCAGCAAGAAAAAAAAAUUAAUAAAAAUAUGCACUCCUCUCACAAGAUUUAUCACGUGCUUGAUUCUUUACGUUCUGUGCAUGUUCUGGUGAUAGUUACAACCCAAACUGGAAAAUAUCCAACAGAACAUCCACAGCAGAGUGGAAAAAUAAAUUGUGGGGUUUUUCACACAAUGAACUAUUUCACCACCACAGGAAUAAACCCUCUCCAACUUGAUGCAACCAUCAGACCAAAGGUCAAGUGAAAGGAGCCGCAAAAUCACACAUACUGUGGAUUUCAUCUCUGUUGUUGCUGUCCAGUUGCCAAGUCAUGUCUGACUCUGUGUGACCCGGUGGACUGUACCACGUCAGGCCUUCCUGUCCUUCACUAUCUCCUGGAGUUUACUGAAGCUCAAGAGGCCACUGAUGUCUCUGAUGCCAUCCAACCAUCUCAUCCUCUGUCGCCCCCUUCUCCUGCCUUCAAUCUUUCCCAGCAUCAGGGUCUUUUCCAAUGAGUUGGCUCUUCAAUGAACGAUGGAGAAAACUAUAUGAGAGGUCAGAGGUGGGGGAAAUAAAUGACUCCUUUCAAUUGAGAGAAUGGGAAAGCCACAAUCUGAGCUGGCUCAAGAAGACCUGGGAUGUAAUUACAUAAGAAUCAACAGGAGGAAGAGAGGUUCCGGAAGAAGCCACAGAAGGGCAAACAGCAGAAAGAAAGGAUGCUCUUUUAGGCGCUGGGUACCAGAGACAGCAGAGAGCGCCCAGCAUGCCCAGUGGAAACCACCAAGGUCUCUGAUUCCAUCAAAGAUGGCAGCCCUCAAGACUAUACCAUCCGCCUCCAGGAAUCAGGAGAAUCAGGAUGGUGGAGUUCAAGGAUACGCGCUCAUCUCCUGCGUGAACACCAAAAUCGCAACUAGCAGCGGAACAACUCCUGACAGGAGGGUGUUGGAACACACCGAGAAAAGAGACCCCAUGUCAAGGACAAAGGAAAAGCCGCAGUGAGAUGGUAGGAGGGGUGCAAUCGCAUUAAAAUCAAACCCCGUACCCGCCAGAGAUUCUCGGAGGGCACAACAAGACCUCAUGUGCACCAGGACCAAGGGAAAGGAGAAGUGAUCCCCCCCAAAAAAGAGACAGAGUCAGACCUGCCUGUGAGUGUUUGACGGUCUCCUGCGGAGGCAUGGGUCAGCAAUGGCCCGCCGUGGGGACAGGGGCAUUGGCAGCAGCAACUGCUAUUAGAAGACAUUAUAGCACCUAGGGCUUGGGUUUGGGAGCUGGAUGGAUCUGUAUUUGAGAUCCACUUGCUUGGAAACUGCCCGGCUGUGUUCCUUUGAAUAAACAUCUUAACCU